RNAcentral lists this unclassified non-coding RNA (362 nucleotides) under uncultured Phialophora. RNAcentral describes it as "sequence contains ITS2". The stretch from base 1 to 154 matches the Rfam family "5.8S ribosomal RNA". The record is from RNAcentral. Lineage: Eukaryota; Fungi; Ascomycota; Leotiomycetes.
AACUUGCUGCAACGUGUCUCUUGGUUCUGGCAUCGAUUAAGAACGCAGCGAAAUGCGAUAAGUAAUGUGAAUUGCAGAAUUCAGUGAAUCAUCGAAUCUUUGAACGCACAUUGCGCCCGCUGGUAUUCCGGCGGGCAUGCCUGUUCGAGCGUCAUUAUGACCAAUCAAGCUCUGCUUGGCCUUGGGGCCCGCUGUACCGGCGGCCCUUAAAACUAGUGGCGGUGCCGUCUGGCUCUAAGCGUAGUAAUACUUCUCGCUAUAGUGUCUAGGCGUCCACCCGCCAGAACCUCCAACUUUCUUAGGUUGACCUCGGAUCAGGUAGGGAUACCCGCUGAACUUAAGCAUAUCAAUAAGCGGAGGCU